Molecule: ribosomal RNA, 305 nt
Filed under: uncultured bacterium
Lineage: Bacteria
Description: partial 16S ribosomal RNA
Rfam family: Bacterial small subunit ribosomal RNA
Source: RNAcentral
ACAGCAGCAGCCGCGGUAAUACGUAGGUCCCGAGCGUUGUCCGGAUUUAUUGGGCGCAAAGCGAGCGCAGGCGGUUAGAUAAGUCUGAAGUUAAAGGCUGUGGCUUAACCAUAGUACGCUUUGGAAACUGUUUAACUUGAGUGCAAGAGGGGAGAGUGGAAUUCCAUGUGUAGCGGUGAAAUGCGUAGAUAUAUGGAGGAACACCGGUGGCGAAAGCGGCUCUCUGGCUUGUAACUGACGCUGAUGCACGAAAGCUAGGGGAGCAAACAGGAUUAGAGACCCCAGUAGUCCCUGUCUCUUAUACA